RNAcentral lists this ribosomal RNA (252 nucleotides) under uncultured bacterium. Its description in RNAcentral is "partial 16S ribosomal RNA". It matches the Rfam family "Bacterial small subunit ribosomal RNA", at positions 524 to 776 of the family's 1533-position model. The record is from RNAcentral.
UACGAGGGGGCGAGCGUUGUUCGGAAUUAUUGGGCGUAAAGGGUGCGUAGGCGGUUCCGCAAGUCCUGUGUGAAAUCUUCGGGCUUAACUCGAAGCCUGCACGGGAAACUGCGGGGCUUGAGUGUGGGAGAGGUGAGUGGAAUUCCCGGUGUAGCGGUGAAAUGCGUAGAUAUUCGGUGGAACACCAGUGGCGAAGGCGACUCGCUGGACUGAUACUGACGCUGAGGUGCGAAAGCGUGGGGAGCAAACAGG